CAAGAAAUUUGUUCCGGGGGUGAUCUCCGGGUGAGCUAAAAUUAGGCCGACGUGCUCCGAAUUGAGCUCACAGCCAACAAAAGAAGGUCAAGGGAGACAGGCAGGAUGAAGACGACGAAGAAAACGAGCAAGACAAAAUUGGGGGUGGGAGCGUCUCUGCUCACCUUUUCAGCUCGCUAGCUUGUUGUUUACCGGAAGACACGACAGGACAACUCCAAACGACGCUGGAAUCCGAAAACUAGUUGGCCCGCCCCCGCGGCCUCCUUGAGCGAGAGCAACGGAGAGACGACGCAACAUCCGCUUGCGCCACAGUGCCAGCCACCUGUCGCACCUUCCUUUAUUCGGGGUUCUUGGCCUGGCCUCUCUGCAUUGCCCUCUCCCGUCACUUUCUCGCUGAUUCCACAAACGGCUCAUCUCCCUCCACGGCAAAGCGAAGUGGCCUGCUCAUCUCCCUCCACGGCACGGCAGCGAGACAUCGCCGUUAAACGUCGACUUCGCGUUUAAUUCCGCACGCAAGUGGACGGUGGGAUUCAUGGCGAGGAGGAGACGAACGUGAAGAAGGCUGAUGGCCGCUGGGAUGAUUCACUGUUGGUGUUGGGGGGUUCCAGGCGAUUCCGUCCGCUGCCACACACUGUGCUAUGAGCGAGGCCGCGUGUUUUGUCGGAACACGGGAAAAGAAUAAGUGGCGGUCCAUAUUUAAAGGAUGGGUAUUCAAAAUUAAUUGAAUGGUAAGUAGAUUUCUACUCAUGAUUUUCUGGCCACCAAAUGAGACCUAAGUGACAAAAAAUGAUAUAUACAUAUAUAAUGCCUUAUAAAGUCUAGCUAUUUAUUAGUAUGCAGUGUGAUAUAUUACAUAUUUAUAUAGCAACAGUUUUAUAGUAUACACAUACUAUAUAUAUUAAAUAAGAUAAAAUCUUAGAUGGGCAUAAGUUUGAUACAAAAUAAUUUUAUUCAAUACCAGUGAUAAGAGCUAACAUUUGAAAUAUAUCUAGAUGUAGCCAGGCACUGCGGCUACACGCGUGGCAGCUGCCAGAAGUCCGAUGGCAACAGCUGCUAUUACUACUUUGCUAGGACAUGGAGUCACGUGCUUGUCUUCUUCGGGCGACCGCACGAAGCUAAAUGUUAAGUCGUUAACUUCGAGAGACCGAGAUAACUAAGAUGGACAUGGUAGACUGCUCCACUGCUGCUGGAUUCUUGAAUGAUAAAACUUUUUUAUUUUAUUUUUUUGCAAAUACAUGAGUUUUUAAUUAUAUGCAUUUAUUAUUUGUAUAAAAAUCUUGGGUAGACCCGCUCCUAACAGACAUAAUUGAGUUUUAGAUGCGUAACGUACGACCUUAUUUAAUAUGUUAUCCUGAUGGGUCUAUAAAGAUUAAUUUAAAGAAGUACAAGAG
RNAcentral lists this long non-coding RNA (1391 nucleotides) under Zea mays. Its description in RNAcentral is "long non-coding RNA (ZMAY_LNC003975)". The record is from RNAcentral. Lineage: Eukaryota; Viridiplantae; Streptophyta; Magnoliopsida; Poales; Poaceae.